This 64-nucleotide transfer RNA is filed under the name Acisoma panorpoides. RNAcentral describes it as "tRNA-His". Lineage: Eukaryota; Metazoa; Arthropoda; Insecta; Odonata; Libellulidae. The record is from RNAcentral.
AUUUGAAUAGUUUAAAUAAAAUUCUGAUUUGUGGUGUCAGAGAUGUAAUAUAUUACUUCAGAUC